GAUUUCUGGUUUGACGCGCCUGGCCCGGUGGGGUUACCUGCUGAGUGCCGGUGCGCGUCUACCAUCCUUCUAGAAAACAGCCUUGCCCUUCACUGGGUUGAGGUUGCGAUCUAGAUCUUUUACUUUGAAAAAAUUAGAGUGUUUAAAGCAGGCUUUUGCUAUGAAUACAUUAGCAUGGAAUAAUAAUCUAGGACUUCGGUUCUAUUUUGUUGGUUUCUAUAACUGAAGUAAUGAUUGAUAGGGAUAGUUGGGGGUGCUAGUAUUGGCCGGCCAGAGGUGAAAUUCUUGGAUUCGGUCAAGACUAACUUAUGCGAAAGCAUU
This 321-nucleotide ribosomal RNA is filed under the name uncultured Rhogostoma. RNAcentral's name for it is "SSU rRNA". The stretch from base 106 to 321 matches the Rfam family "Eukaryotic small subunit ribosomal RNA", at positions 738 to 955 of the family's 1831-position model. Lineage: Eukaryota; Cercozoa; Thecofilosea; Cryomonadida. The record is from RNAcentral.